UACGUAAGGGGCAAGCGUUGUCCGGAAUCACUGGGCGUAAAGAGCUUGUAGGCGGUUUGUCGCGUCUGCUGUGAAAUUUCGGGGCUCAACCCCGAACUUGCAGUGGGUACGGGCAGACUAGAGUGUGGUAGGGGAGACUGGAAUUCCUGGUGUAGCGGUGAAAUGCGCAGAUAUCAGGAGGAACACCGAUGGCGAAGGCAGGUCUCUGGGCCACUACUGACGCUGAGAAGCGAAAGCAUGGGGAGCGAACAGG
This 253-nucleotide ribosomal RNA is filed under the name uncultured bacterium. RNAcentral's name for it is "partial 16S ribosomal RNA". It matches the Rfam family "Bacterial small subunit ribosomal RNA", at positions 524 to 776 of the family's 1533-position model. The record is from RNAcentral.